Long non-coding RNA from Rosa rugosa (rugosa rose), 1911 nucleotides. RefSeq lists it as uncharacterized. The transcript is spliced from 4 exons. NCBI's taxonomy places the organism in Eukaryota, Viridiplantae, Streptophyta, Magnoliopsida, Rosales, Rosaceae. The record is from RefSeq and is a predicted model, not a curated record.
CUUCAAACUCGAGCAAAAAAAAUUCCGACAAAACUUACUUUACCGUUUUCCUAUCUAAGUACCAAGUUUGGUGAGGCCCAAUCUUUAUUUGGUCAUGCCAACAUUUUAAUUUUUGAGUUUCCUUAUAUUUACUUAUUUUACUUUUAUUUUCCCCAUCCUCUUGGUUUUUACAAUUUCUUACUUUUACCCAAAUUUAUCUGCCCAAAGCUGAGCCUUCUCCUUCACACGCAAAACUCAGCUUUUCCUCUUUCCUUGUUCACGUCAGAGUUGGACAGAGAGAAAGGGAGCCUCGUUCAGCUCUUCCCCUCCACGUUUCCAUCAUGCAAAGGGCAACUCCUCCAAGAACAUCUCCUCAGACCUUCAAAAGAGAGAACCCAGGCCAUAAAUCGUCACUCACCCUUCUCUCCUCACAUUUCCUCUCGUCCCUGGACACAUCAGUCUGUUUACGAGCCCAAAAACACCUAGUUAGAGACCUCCGAUGAAAAAACUUUCUUCACCAAAGUUGUUCGUCUAUGUCUCCUCUAUUUAGCCUCAAAAUUUCAGCUCCGUCGGAGUCGAUUUGAGUCCUGUACACCGCUCGAAGCGGAAGCUGUUCUGAAACGAGCCUGUUCCGGAUUUCUGCUUGAAUUUCCUCUCUUGCUCUAUCCGAAUCCCUCACAUCUUACUUGAGACUGGUACAAACACUUGUCUCUGUUUCACUUUGCAUGUUCGAGAUUGAGCGAACUUCUUGGCCUGUGGAUGGACUCGAUCCAAUCAGCUCCCUCAGCUCUCUUUCCUGUUGAAAUCCUCAAGAGAAGCUCACCUUUUUGAUUAGUCUUUGGCUUGACAUCGUGGUGGAAUCUUGUGAAGUUGGUGGUUGCUACAAGGUUGCAUUGAGGCCAAGUGCUGCAAGAGAAAGCUCGAGUUCCAGGUAGGGGAUGCCUUUAACUCUAUCUAUGCUUUUCUUGCAUAUACUAUGUUUUAUAUGAGGCCUCUUGCAUGUUUUGGAAAUUAUCUGUUUUUGCAACUUGAAAUGGUUUGCGUGGAUUGAAUUGAUGUGUUGGCAAUUGAUGGGGAUGUAAGGAGAGGUCAGUUCCUCCUUGAGCCACCGGUGGUGGGCAGUGUGCACCAUGCCCUUGUUAUCUCCCCUUUGUCUCUAGCCUUGUGAUUAAUGAAUUCCGGAAAGUGAUUGGCUAGAUGGACGGUUGUGAUGGAAGUGUGAAAGAUGAUCAAUUGUCGUGGGAUUGUAGUUACGUGGUGACGAUCACGUGGAAGCGCAAACCGGUUUUAUCUACUUCUUUUAUUCAAAACAAUAACUCAUGUUUUUAAACUUAGAUAUGGGGGCGGGCAUGGGCAAUGACUGGAUGUAGGGGAUGCCUUUAACUCUAUCUAUGCUUUUCUUGCAUAUACUAUGUUUUAUAUGAGGCCUCUUGCAUGUUUUGGAAAUUAUCUGUUUUUGCAACUUGAAAUGGUUUGCGUGGAUUGAAUUGAUGUGUUGGCAAUUGAUGGGGAUGUAAGGAGAGGUCAGUUCCUCCUUGAGCCACCGGUGGUGGGCAGUGUGCACCAUGCCCUUGUUAUCUCCCCUUUGUCUCUAGCCUUGUGAUUAAUGAAUUCCGGAAAGUGAUUGGCUAGAUGGACGGUUGUGAUGGAAGUGUGAAAGAUGAUCAAUUGUCGUGGGAUUGUAGUUACGUGGUGACGAUCACGUGGAAGCGCAAACCGGUUUUAUCUACUUCUUUUAUUCAAAACAAUAACUCAUGUUUUUAAACUUAGAUAUGGGGGCGGGCAUGGGCAAUGACUGGAUGUAGGAGCCUAACCCCUACUUUAGUUUGUUUUGCAGGCUGUUGUUGUUGAAGCUUGGGCACGGAGGAUAAUCCUUGGAGGACACAAUUUGUUUUACUCUAUUUAAAGUUUAUUUCCUUUCGGCUUGCUUGA